AGCAAAGAUGGGUGGAGAUUCACCUCUUUGUGAACAAGUGCAUGAGAAAUUAGCCAAACUGUUAAAGGACAAUGUUCCUGAACAUACUGUACAAUUGCAAGGAGUUUAAGGAUUUCAUCAUCUACAGUUCACAAUACGAUGGAAAGGUUCAGAAAAUCCAGAUAAAUUACUGCAUGUAAGCGGCAAGGUUGAAAACCAACGUCGAAUGCCCAUGACCUUUGAUUCCACAGCUGGCUCUGCUUCGAAACCUGACAUCACUGUGUAAAGGAUAACACCACAGGGGCUCUAGAACAGUUCAGAAAACCAAUGUCACCAAAUAAAAUUUGGUGUUACAUCCUUAAAGGGCAGAUAAAGAGUUCAAUUCUCCACCAUUUUACUCGGUUAAAUUGUAUUGAAUGCAUAACUCGCUGUGUCAAAACUCAUAUUAGAAUUUUUUUUUUUUUUGACUUGAUCGUGUAGUUUUUUUAGUUACUGCCAUAGCAACACCUUAGCAACGAGGGACGCACUUCGCUGCCGGCCGCUACCUGAUGACGUACUUUAAAAAGACCUCGCCACCUCUCUAUUAUGGAAGUGUAGCACUAUGCUAUCCUCGCCAUAUAUCGCAAAGAUUUUUAAGGUUUUACUCACGAGAUUUAUCACGCCAUCUUAAUGUGGAGCGAUGAAUUGCUCCCAUGAAGGCUCCAGACUACCAGUGGACCGAAAUACCUUCUUCUGCAAGGAUUUGGACGUUUUGUGAGCGUCAAGCUCAAGAACUUCUCCCUGGCUUCCCGAGUGCUUCUUUGUUUUCAACAUUUCAGCGACGACAGCUUUGAAAGCCUAGGAGAAUACAACCUUGAUUUUUCAAAGACAUAAGUAGAUCUUUACUGGCUUUUCUCAUUCUAAAAUUUAAUGCAAUUUCUGUUGAUACAGGAGGGCAAAUCCUAUUGCCUGUUCGUUGAAGUGUGACUUUUUUUUCUUUUUUUUUUUUAUGUUCUUGCUGGCCUGUCAUCAGUAGAUAGGACAGCUGACAGGUCGUCUUUUCAUGCGAAUUUGAUACAUUUAUUACUAGAUCUAUAUAACUACUUGUCUGUUUUUGCAAUUACUGAUAAUUAUAAAACAGAAUGACUUGGGGAAGAGUGGCUCAGAGAGAAAGACAAAGAAAAACGAUGCUAGACAUGGGUUUACCACUCGUCAUUUCGUGAAGUGUCCAGCCGCCAAUCGGCGUCAUCAUCACCGUCGGCUGUGUCGAGUAAAUCCUCAUCAAUCUGACGCUUCAGGUUCAAACUUGUAAGGAUUAAUUGUAGAUAAUCUUUCCUGGGAACCCUCAUCAUCGCUGACGUCACGAAAAAGUGAUCCUGAACGGGUACUUUCGCUGGAAAUAUCACUAUCACUGGUGCUGCUAUGGAUAAAGUUAGUAAAUGACGUCACAUUUCCGGGUUUGGGAAGGCAGUAUUGACGGUGCGCUAAAAAAAAAAAAAAAAAAAAAAAAAAAACGCAAAUUCUUUUCACAGUUACGCAUUAGAAAUUACCUAGUCCUUUCAACGAACUCGUCCAAAGUUAAAAUCCGUUUAAUUACACUGAAAUCUGACAAACUCUUUAUCUGCCAUGUUAGGGCCUCCGCUUCUCCUUCCUGAGCCCUGCCUCAGGUGAGAGGAGUUUGCCUGAUUACAGGUCGAACGUCCGACGGGUGGAGCGGCCAGCUGUGAGCAAUCAUCAUCUGCCAGCUUAAAAGCCCAGCGGACGCACCACCACAUCGCCCGAUCAACCUGUCUGGUUUCCUCGACUUGAUCAGCGCACCCCUCCUCGGAUACCUCCGCUUACCAGUGAAUCGCCAACCCACCUCUUGCUAUCCACGUUGGCGUCUACGGUGCCUCCCCCGUAAUCAAUCCUGCUCAAUAAACUUGGCAACUCUCA
Long non-coding RNA from Corythoichthys intestinalis (scribbled pipefish), 1893 nucleotides. RefSeq lists it as uncharacterized. The record is from RefSeq and is a predicted model, not a curated record. Lineage: Eukaryota; Metazoa; Chordata; Actinopteri; Syngnathiformes; Syngnathidae. The transcript is spliced from 2 exons.